UAGUAACGCGUGGGUAACCUGCCCUGUACAGGGGGAUAACAGCUGGAAACGGCUGCUAAUACCGCAUAAGCGCACGAGGAGACAUCUCCUUGUGUGAAAAACUCCGGUGGUACAGGAUGGGCCCGCGUCUGAUUAGCUGGUUGGCAGGGUAACGGCCUACCAAGGCAACGAUCAGUAGCCGGUCUGAGAGGAUGAACGGCCACAUUGGAACUGAGACACGGUCCAAACUCCUACGGGAGGCAGCAGUGGGGAAUAUUGCACAAUGGGGGAAACCCUGAUGCAGCAACGCCGCGUGAGUGAAGAAGUAUUUCGGUAUGUAAAGCUCUAUCAGCAGGGAAGAUAAUGACGGUACCUGACUAAGAAGCUCCGGCUAAAUACGUGCCAGCAGCCGCGGUAAUACGUAUGGAGCAAGCGUUAUCCGGAUUUACUGGGUGUAAAGGGUGCGUAGGUGGCAGUGCAAGUCAGAUGUGAAAGGCCGGGGCUCAACCCCGGAGCUGCAUUUGAAACUGCAUAGCUAGAGUACAGGAGAGGCAGGCGGAAUUCCUAGUGUAGCGGUGAAAUGCGUAGAUAUUAGGAGGAACACCAGUGGCGAAGGCGGCCUGCUGGACUGUUACUGACACUGAGGCACGAAAGCGUGGGGAGCAAACAGGAUUAGAUACCCU
This 662-nucleotide ribosomal RNA is filed under the name uncultured bacterium. Its description in RNAcentral is "bacterial SSU rRNA". It matches the Rfam family "Bacterial small subunit ribosomal RNA", at positions 108 to 788 of the family's 1533-position model. The record is from RNAcentral.